Mauremys mutica (yellowpond turtle) is the source of this 1184-nucleotide long non-coding RNA. RefSeq lists it as uncharacterized. The transcript is spliced from 4 exons. NCBI's taxonomy places the organism in Eukaryota, Metazoa, Chordata, Testudines, Geoemydidae. The record is from RefSeq and is a predicted model, not a curated record.
UAAAAUCAGUUUAAAAUCAGUACUUGUUCAAAAUUUUCACUAUUGCCAAACUUUUAAGGAUAAGAAAAAUCAUUUUUUUGUUCUUUAUUUUAAUUGUUCCAAGUUGGGUUGUUUUUUGAACUCUCCCAUAGAACAUUAAUGUAGCAUUUUUUCCCAUGUUGAAGAGGGUGGUCAUUAUAUUAAAUAAAAAUAGAACAAUGUUAAGAAAAUUUAAGUCUAAUUAUCUAGAGAGCAGAAUACAAAUUCAGCCAACGGUAAAAUCCACAUCCUCACAUCCCCUAUAUCAAGAGUUCUAACUUGCGUCUUUUCCAGGUGCCAAAAUCCUCCCUCCAAGUUCCAUAAAAGACCCAGUUCCCACCUCUCGGUUCAGCUUCCAACCUUUCCACCACUUUGUAAAACAAAGUUCUGAAUAAAUACCCCUCCCAACUGCUGAAACCCAGCUGCUUCAUUCCUGAUGAGGGAAUCAGCCAAAGACACAACACCUGGGAGUCCAAUCCAAGAGAGUAAACAGUUCGGAGACAGAAUUACUCUACUGGGAAAUGUAUAGUUUUUUUAGAACUGGAGCAGGCAACAAGACAGCAUCACAGCACAUGGAGUUCCCAACACCAAUUAACAGUGUGCCUUUAAGGAAGAUACAGGGAUAUGGAACAGAAGGACAGGAGUGACUUCAGUUUCCCAGUUGUCAGCCAGCCUAGGACAAGGACUUUCUGUUCCUCCUGUAGAAGGAGAGCUCACCAACUGGAAAUAGUUCUGGAGCCGAGACUGUCCCCAUAGCAACUACUUCCAUAGUCCAGCACACCAUCUAAAUUAUGCCCUCACAAACCAUAUUAUGCAAAAAUAUUGAGGCCGGUUGCAAGUGAACUCUGUAGAAAGUGUCAGCAUUAUUGAUUUCAUUGCUGCACAUUUUAAAGUAUAUAACAAGGCACGUGCUGUAAAUCACAAGAGUUGGGAAUUCAGAGAUUAUUUGCAUUACCUAGUCAAGGAUCAGCAUUAUCUCCUGCAAAUGUAAACAAACUUGUGUGUCUGAGUGACUGGCUGAACAAGGAGGAGGACUGAGUGGACUCAUAGGAUCUAAAGUUUUACAUUGUUUUCUUUUUUAAUGCAAUUAUUUUUUGUAUGUAUGUAAUUCCAUAUUUGUAAGUUCGACUUUCACGAUAAAGAUACUGCAUUACUGUACUUGUAAG